This 687-nucleotide long non-coding RNA is filed under the name Rattus norvegicus (Norway rat). RNAcentral describes it as "long non-coding RNA NONRATT029224". Lineage: Eukaryota; Metazoa; Chordata; Mammalia; Rodentia; Muridae. The record is from RNAcentral.
AGGGGCAUUUCUGCAAGGGGAGGUGUGUGUGUGUGAACACCUCUCCAAGCCUAGGCCAGUUUUAUGAUGGGAGAGUGUUAGCCCUCACUCUGGCUUGGGGCUACACUCACUUUUUUUUUAAAGAUGUAUUUAUUUAUUUCAUGUAUGUGAGUACAUGGUCUCUGUCCUCAGACACACCAGAAGAGGCAUCGGAUCUCAUUACAGAUGGUUGUGAGCCACCAUGUGGUUGCUGGGAAUUAAGAGCAGUCAGUGCUCUUAACCACUGAGCCAUCUCUCCAGCCCCCCCCCCCCCCCGCUACAUUCACUUUUGCUGGUGUAUGAGAGGGGUGUGGAGUGCUCAGCUACGAGUUCAGUGUGCUGAGGGUCUGCUAUGUUUGGAUGGGGGUUCCUUCCCUUCUAUCUAAUAGAAACCUGAGUCCUCAGGCUCUCCCCAGCCCCAGCAGAACCUCUUGUCCUAGAAAAAUAGCAACGCAACUGUUUACCACUCUGUCCCCAGUGCCUAGGAGGAUGCUUGGCUGACACACAGAGAACCUCAGCUAAUACUCCUUGAAACCAACAGAAGGAACCUUCUGCUUUCAUCUGGAGGACCCAGCGUUCUGCCUGAGCGUGAGCUAGGACCCCCCUCCCAGGGAACGCCCAGGUGCCUUGGGCUUUCGCCCUCCUGCCAACAUCGAGUCUCCAAGUUCG